RNAcentral lists this ribosomal RNA (941 nucleotides) under Bacillus altitudinis. Its description in RNAcentral is "bacterial SSU rRNA". It matches the Rfam family "Bacterial small subunit ribosomal RNA", at positions 77 to 1002 of the family's 1533-position model. Lineage: Bacteria; Bacillati; Bacillota; Bacilli; Caryophanales; Bacillaceae. The record is from RNAcentral.
AGCUUGCUCCCGGAUGUUAGCGGCGGACGGGUGAGUAACACGUGGGUAACCUGCCUGUAAGACUGGGAUAACUCCGGGAAACCGGAGCUAAUACCGGAUAGUUCCUUGAACCGCAUGGUUCAAGGAUGAAAGACGGUUUCGGCUGUCACUUACAGAUGGACCCGCGGCGCAUUAGCUAGUUGGUGAGGUAACGGCUCACCAAGGCGACGAUGCGUAGCCGACCUGAGAGGGUGAUCGGCCACACUGGGACUGAGACACGGCCCAGACUCCUACGGGAGGCAGCAGUAGGGAAUCUUCCGCAAUGGACGAAAGUCUGACGGAGCAACGCCGCGUGAGUGAUGAAGGUUUUCGGAUCGUAAAGCUCUGUUGUUAGGGAAGAACAAGUGCAAGAGUAACUGCUUGCACCUUGACGGUACCUAACCAGAAAGCCACGGCUAACUACGUGCCAGCAGCCGCGGUAAUACGUAGGUGGCAAGCGUUGUCCGGAAUUAUUGGGCGUAAAGGGCUCGCAGGCGGUUUCUUAAGUCUGAUGUGAAAGCCCCCGGCUCAACCGGGGAGGGUCAUUGGAAACUGGGAAACUUGAGUGCAGAAGAGGAGAGUGGAAUUCCACGUGUAGCGGUGAAAUGCGUAGAGAUGUGGAGGAACACCAGUGGCGAAGGCGACUCUCUGGUCUGUAACUGACGCUGAGGAGCGAAAGCGUGGGGAGCGAACAGGAUUAGAUACCCUGGUAGUCCACGCCGUAAACGAUGAGUGCUAAGUGUUAGGGGGUUUCCGCCCCUUAGUGCUGCAGCUAACGCAUUAAGCACUCCGCCUGGGGAGUACGGUCGCAAGACUGAAACUCAAAGGAAUUGACGGGGGCCCGCACAAGCGGUGGAGCAUGUGGUUUAAUUCAAAGCAACGCGAAGAACCUUACCAGGUCUUGACAUCCUCUGACAACCCUA